CCAACUGACUAAGCUGUGCCAUAGCAUAUAGAUACCUGCAAUAUCAGAAGCAUCGCGAGCGCGUUGCCUAUCCUACUCCUGACCCUCCACAGGAGCUUUAUCCACCUUACUCACUACAGGACGCAAUACUACUUGACAGCAAUAACAUUUAGCUGUGAUCUUUUUUUGAGAUAUUUCCUAUUGUGCCGUAGCUCAAUGAGAUUACAGACUGUUGAAGAUUUUGAAAAAAAGUAUAAACAUAGUCAAUAAGGAAACAAAAAAUUUUAAGCGACCGCCCUUUGUAAUUCAGGCCAACAGCUCAGGCCAAAAACUUUCAUGUGUCAGACUAUAUAAAAUUGUUUUUUUUAUGAUCACUUUUUGAAUAUAUAUUUCUUAAGUAGGAAUAUGAUUUUUACAAUAAUAUUACGCUAGAUUAAGUACAGAGAUUUUUAUAACUCGACCCG
This 443-nucleotide unclassified non-coding RNA is filed under the name Melitaea cinxia (Glanville fritillary). RNAcentral describes it as "misc RNA ENSMCXG00005017871.1". The record is from RNAcentral. Lineage: Eukaryota; Metazoa; Arthropoda; Insecta; Lepidoptera; Nymphalidae.